This 274-nucleotide unclassified non-coding RNA is filed under the name uncultured fungus. Its description in RNAcentral is "sequence contains 5.8S rRNA gene". The stretch from base 1 to 53 matches the Rfam family "5.8S ribosomal RNA", at positions 102 to 154 of the family's 154-position model. The record is from RNAcentral. Lineage: Eukaryota; Fungi.
GAACGCACAUUGCGCCCUUUGGUAUUCCGAAGGGCAUGCCUGUUCGAGCGUCAUUAUCACCCCUCAAGCCCUGUGCUUGGUGUUGGACGGCCGGUCGAGGUUCCCCUCGACCCCUCCUAAAGACAACGACGGCGGCCUGUGGUUCCCCCGGUACACUGAGCUUCUUACCGAGCACGUACCGGACGAGGGCACCCAGGACCCGGUCUUCUCCUCUCACGAGGAAAUAUUUUUCUAAGGUUGACCUCGGAUCAGGUAGGAAUACGCGCGGAACUUA